GAUGAACGCUGGCGGCGUGCCUAAUACAUGCAAGUCGAGCGAACGGACGAGAAGCUUGCUUCUCUGAUGUUAGCGGCGGACGGGUGAGUAACACGUGGAUAACCUACCUAUAAGACUGGGAUAACUUCGGGAAACCGGAGCUAAUUCCGGAUGAUAUUUUGAACCGCAUGGUUCAAAAGUGAAAGACGGUCUUGCUGUCACUUAUAGAUGGAUCCGCGCUGCAUUAGCUAGUUGGUAAGGUAACGGCUUACCAAGGCAACGAUGCAUAGCCGACCUGAGAGGGUGAUCGGCCACACUGGAACUGAGACACGGUCCAGACUCCUACGGGAGGCAGCAGUAGGGAAUCUUCCGCAAUGGGCGAAAGCCUGACGGAGCAACGCCGCGUGAGUGAUGAAGGUCUUCGGAUCGUAAAACUCUGUUAUUAGGGAAGAACAUAUGUGUAAGUAACUGUGCACAUCUUGACGGUACCUAAUCAGAAAGCCACGGCUAACUACGU
This 496-nucleotide ribosomal RNA is filed under the name uncultured bacterium. Its description in RNAcentral is "partial 16S ribosomal RNA". It matches the Rfam family "Bacterial small subunit ribosomal RNA", at positions 28 to 506 of the family's 1533-position model. The record is from RNAcentral.